This 253-nucleotide ribosomal RNA is filed under the name uncultured bacterium. RNAcentral's name for it is "partial 16S ribosomal RNA". It matches the Rfam family "Bacterial small subunit ribosomal RNA", at positions 524 to 776 of the family's 1533-position model. The record is from RNAcentral.
UACGAAGGGGGCUAGCGUUGCUCGGAAUCACUGGGCGUAAAGGGCGCGUAGGCGGGUUUUUAAGUCAGGGGUGAAAUCCUGGAGCUCAACUCCAGAACUGCCUUUGAUACUGAAAGUCUUGAGUAUGGGAGAGGUGAGUGAAACUGCGAGUGUAGAGGUGAAAUUCGUAGAUAUUCGCAAGAACACCAGUGGCGAAGGCGGCUCACUGGCCCAUUACUGACGCUGAGGCACGAAAGCGUGGGGAGCAAACAGG